UGGGGAAUAUUGCACAAUGGAGGGAACUCUGAUGCAGCGACGCCGCGUGAGUGAUGAAGGAAUUCGUUUCGUAAAACUCUGUUCUAUGGGAAGAAAAGGACUGUACCAUAGGAGAAAGCUCCGGCUAAAUACGUGCCAGCAGCCGCGGUAAUACGUAUGGAGCGAGCGUUGUCCGGAAUUGUUGGGCGUAAAGGGUGCGCAGGCGGCUUUACAAGUUGGAUGUGAAAUAUUGUGGCUCAACCACAAACGUGCAUCCAAAACUGCAAAGCUUGAGUUAAGGAGAGGUAAGUGGAAUUCCUGGUGUAGCGGUGGAAUGCGUAGAUAUCAGGAGGAAUACCGGUGGCGAAGGCGACUUACUGGACUUAAACUGACGCUCAGGCACGAAAGCGUGGGGAGCAAACAGG
RNAcentral lists this ribosomal RNA (404 nucleotides) under Fusobacteriota bacterium. RNAcentral describes it as "Fusobacteria bacterium partial 16S ribosomal RNA". It matches the Rfam family "Bacterial small subunit ribosomal RNA", at positions 355 to 776 of the family's 1533-position model. Lineage: Bacteria; Fusobacteriati; Fusobacteriota. The record is from RNAcentral.